GGCCUUAUGGUCGAAGUGAAGACGUCAGACUGCAAUUCUGAAGGUGUAGUUUUACUAAGGCUU
This 63-nucleotide transfer RNA is filed under the name Isonychia ignota. Its description in RNAcentral is "tRNA-Cys". It matches the Rfam family "tRNA". From Rfam's summary of the family: Transfer RNA (tRNA) molecules are approximately 80 nucleotides in length. Their secondary structure includes four short double-helical elements and three loops (D, anti-codon, and T loops). Further hydrogen bonds mediate the characteristic L-shaped molecular structure. tRNAs have two regions of fundamental functional importance: the anti-codon, which is responsible for specific mRNA codon recognition, and the 3' end, to which the tRNAs corresponding amino acid is attached (by aminoacyl-tRNA synthetases). tRNAs cope with the degeneracy of the genetic code in two manners: having more than one tRNA (with a specific anti-codon) for a particular amino acid; and 'wobble' base-pairing, i.e. permitting non-standard base-pairing at the 3rd anti-codon position. Lineage: Eukaryota; Metazoa; Arthropoda; Insecta; Ephemeroptera; Isonychiidae. The record is from RNAcentral.